AUCUCAGGCACAGAGGAUAGUCUGGAAAGACCUAACCUGCACAUGCAAAUCUAUUAAGAAAGAUGAAGUCUUAGGCUUAUAUGGAGCUAAAUAAUUGCAUGUUUAAUGCAAUGCCAGGGUACAGGUAAUGGUGAUUGGAGUUGGAGGGGUGAUGUGUGUGGUGGGUGAGGAAGUCAGGGCUGAGUCCUAGGUGAGAUCUAUAAGAGUGAUGUUUAUUUAUGCAUCUGAGGGCUGGGACUCUCAUGACAGGAUUUAUUUUCAUUCUCUUUCAAGGAGAGCCAUGCUGCCUUGCUGCUUCUUGCUCGUGUACACAGAGCACUUGGUGUCUUGCGAAUCCCCUUUGACGCCGGUGCCUUUCCAGGCUUUGUUGGGCCAGGAGAUGGUUUUGCAGCAGCAGAAGACUAUGAACUGGGCUUUGGGAGAUAGGAUCUCUGGUUGUAUUCUGGCUAUCCACACUC
This 458-nucleotide long non-coding RNA is filed under the name Homo sapiens (human). RNAcentral's name for it is "non-protein coding IGFBP7-AS1:14". The record is from RNAcentral. Lineage: Eukaryota; Metazoa; Chordata; Mammalia; Primates; Hominidae.